UGGAAUUGAGAGGGACAGAUACGUUUUUUGCUAUGAAAGUGAUGGAUAAAGCUUCAUUGGCGAGUAGGAAUAAGUUAUUGAGGGCACAAACAGAAAGGGAAAUAUUAGGGUUAUUGGAUCAUCCAUUUUUGCCAACACUUUAUUCUUAUUUUGAAACUGAUAAGUUUUACUGUUUGGUUAUGGAGUUUUGUAGUGGUGGUAAUCUUCACUCUCUUCGUCAAAAGCAACCUAAUAAAUAUUUUACAGAAGAAGCUGCCAGGUAAUCACUCUCUUGUUUUUAUUUUAUUAUUAUUGUUAUAAUUAUAAUUAACCUAAUAAAUGUUAAUUUUGGAUCUUAAUUUUCUUUUUAAAUGUGAUUUAACAAAACAGGUUCUAUGCAUCAGAGGUUCUAUUAGCGUUAGAAUACCUUCACAUGUUAGGUAUAGUCUAUAGGGAUUUGAAACCUGAAAAUCUCUUAAUCCGAGACGAAGGUCACAUCAUGCUCUCCGAUUUCGACCUCUCUCUCCGCUGCUCCGUCAGUCCCACCCUCGUUAAAUCCUCCUCCGUCAACGUAA
This 554-nucleotide long non-coding RNA is filed under the name Cucumis sativus (cucumber). RNAcentral's name for it is "long non-coding RNA (CSAT_LNC001672)". The record is from RNAcentral. Lineage: Eukaryota; Viridiplantae; Streptophyta; Magnoliopsida; Cucurbitales; Cucurbitaceae.